Nicotiana attenuata is the source of this 1098-nucleotide long non-coding RNA. RefSeq lists it as uncharacterized. The transcript is spliced from 2 exons. NCBI's taxonomy places the organism in Eukaryota, Viridiplantae, Streptophyta, Magnoliopsida, Solanales, Solanaceae. The record is from RefSeq and is a predicted model, not a curated record.
UCCGCUUCUUAUUUCUCCACUGCUAUACUUCAUUAGUAAAAUCCAGAAUCUCCCAUUCAUCUUCUACGUGCAUUUCAGUUAGGGAACUAUUCAUGUUUUGAUUGUUUGAUGGGAAUAAAUUGGCGAAGACUACAAUAAAGCUGCUUGAUAGUGCUUUGAGCGGCUCAUAUCGAGAGGUAAGGAGUUGAAUUUUCACAUCCUGGGUAAGCUAUAAGAAUUCCUUUGGCAACUUUUAUCUUUCAUUUAUUGGGAUUUUAAUUUUUGCUAUUUUUAAUUCUCCCCUUUCUCACUGCUGUCAGAUUGUUGUUGUUUCAACGGUGAGUGGUAAUCAAAUCUUCACUACUUCUUCAUUUCUAUAAUCUUUUCUUCUGCAUUCUCAGUAUAAGACAACUGCGGCGCCGAGCUUGUUCUCUUGGCUAUUGAAAAUCUUAGUCCUAUUUACUAUAUCUCGCCAGUUAUCUUUGAUUUUUGCAGGUUUAAUGACUUUUGACGAGGAACAAAUGUCGUUGGGGUAUAAAUGGCUAAGGUUAUUCUCCCUAAUUCCAUUCCAUUGCGUCAUUGUGGGAUGGUAUGAAUGAGUUGUUGUGACUUCUAAGCUUUUCCUCCCUUUUUUCGUGGCUAUAUUUCUUAUAUGUGCUUGUAUUUUUGGGUGCAUGUCGGUUCGCUUCUUCUGCUUGAACAAUUAUGCUUAUGAUUUUUUUCACAGUUUAUAACUAUAAUGAUCUGGCUAUGGUAUGAAUAUUCAAUUAAUAAGACAAUUGAUCGUUCCUUCCAACUUGGCAUGCAUAUCCCUUCUACUUGAUUUUCAUAGAGCUAAUGGUUGAGUUGACAUUGGAUGCCAUUGGUGAUUUCUUAAGUUCUUUGUCAGUUGGGAGAUAGAAAUUGAAACAAGUUUAUGUCAAGAAGAGUUGUUUUGCAGUUUCUGAGUAGCGAAAGUAGUUGGUUUACUCUUGAACUUAAAUGCAAAUGCAGAAAUUUCUUUGGUCUCAAAUGUAUCAGAUGUACUAGAUACCUUUGAUCUUUGAAUGAGUAUUAAUCAUUUCAAGACUUGGUUGUAUAUUGAGUUAAUAUAUAAUAUUUGUACAUGAUUUUAUCGUU